RNAcentral lists this microRNA (24 nucleotides) under Eisenia fetida (common brandling worm). RNAcentral describes it as "Efe-Bantam-P6_5p* (star (passenger))". Lineage: Eukaryota; Metazoa; Annelida; Clitellata; Crassiclitellata; Lumbricidae. The record is from RNAcentral.
AGGUUUUCACAUUGAUUAUGCAGA